GUUUCAAGCGUCAGCAGUUAAACAGCAAAUUUCCAGACAAUUGAUAAAUUACAAAAUCCCAAACUUUAUUGUAUGACUUUAUUUGUUUAUGAAAUGGUUUCAAAUGUUACACUCAUUGUUCAACAUCACAUAAACACAAGGAAAACGAAGCUAGCCUUCCCCAUUUCAAAACACCACAGAUAAACCAAGGCCUCUUGUUAUCUCUGUUAAGAAAGCUGGAAGAGCAGGGCCAUCCACUUGCAGUCACUAGCUUACCGUGAGGCACGCACCCUCCAGACUCCACUACUUUCCCACCAGCCACUUCACAAUUGCCUUCAUUCCAUGGCUGCUCGCGCUUCUCUUCCCCUUUAAAGCACCAGCAGCAGCCACAACCCACUUCCCUUGUCCAAUUGCUGC
This 396-nucleotide unclassified non-coding RNA is filed under the name Hevea brasiliensis (rubber tree). Lineage: Eukaryota; Viridiplantae; Streptophyta; Magnoliopsida; Malpighiales; Euphorbiaceae. The record is from RNAcentral.